GAUGGUUCUCAGGUGAUGCACCCCCGAAUCGGGCUCCCUCCUCUCUGGUUCCAGAUGUGUCACCUGAGAACCACA
Non-coding RNA from Myotis lucifugus (little brown bat), 75 nucleotides. Lineage: Eukaryota; Metazoa; Chordata; Mammalia; Chiroptera; Vespertilionidae. The record is from Rfam.